Melopsittacus undulatus (budgerigar) is the source of this 1519-nucleotide long non-coding RNA. RefSeq lists it as uncharacterized. The record is from RefSeq and is a predicted model, not a curated record. NCBI's taxonomy places the organism in Eukaryota, Metazoa, Chordata, Aves, Psittaciformes, Psittaculidae. The transcript has 4 exons.
ACAUUCAUUUGAUAGAAUGUCUCUGGGGCUAGGUGAGGAAGAAGACCAACCAGCUAACAGAUGGAACAAAACCCCAUCACAACACUGCAAUCACACCUCACUCUGUGGGCCCUGUGGAUAGAACUAGAAUUUUCCAUUGCUCUCAGGUGCCUCGUUAAGGCACUGAGGGCAUUAGUAAGCCUUAAUGACCCUAAACAGCCUCACCUGUGCACCAGACCACACCCAGGAGCCCUAUUUAAACCGAGCUCUGUACCUCAGUUUUCUUUAGAACUCUGUUGGAGGAAUGCUGCUCUUCAGCUCUGUCCCUGCCUGUGAAGAUUGUUAGUCUGGACUUCAGACUGACUGCCCGGCUUGAUCUUCUAUAUGAUUAUAGAGCAGCUUGGCAAUUGCUGGACCUGAUGGUGAUUUGUGGACUGGAUUGCUGCUUGUUCACAAGCCUGAUAGACUCCUGGCUGGACUUGGCUGCUGCUGGACCUUCUCUUCUUGGGUACCUUGAAAUUGGGCCUAGGCUGGCAGAGGUCUCUUCUCCUGCUGUGGGAGCCCAGAGGUGGCCUGGUCUGCUCUUGUUUCCUGAGGGCUGUGGAGAUCCCUGCAAGGUUUGUGGGCAGUGUGGAGGAUAUGGCUCUGAGGGUGAGCCUGUGCUGCGGCACCAGAGGGGCCUCUUGCCAGGGAGCCGGGAGUGCUGUGUGCUCUGCCUCACCAACUGCCUCAUCCACAGAGAACAGCUGGGCUUCUCUGGGCCUUUUGCAUGGAUUUCUUUGCCUUGAGCAAAAUAUUUGGCUGCUGAGUUAUGAACUAACUCCUUAGACCUGUUUGAGGCACUACAGUGAAGAGCUGCAGGUAAAGGCCUGCAGUCUAAGGAGCAAAUUAUGUUUGUUUUCCAAGUGCCAUGAAGUGCUGCCCCAGAAGUACCACUGCAAGGCAAAGUAUGUGGGGCUGGUGUGCCCUUUCUCUGCUAUAUGUGUGAUUGGACUUGGAAAUGGCUUUUAAUUGCAAUGUUUCAUAUCAAGCUUGUGGGGAGAGUCUUGCUGAGGCUGACACAACUCCCAGUUUGACUGAGUUAACUGGCUAAUUGGAGAGACAUGGGAAGAUGUACAUCGAAAGAGAGUAAGAGGCUUCUGAAACAGGAGGUGGAGAAAGCGAACUCCAUUCAAAAUCCAUUACCAGGAGCUUCAGCCAGCCUCAAGCAGUCAUCUGUAAUGCAGCUAAACCAAGCCUGACCUUGGAAGAUCAAAAAAAGAAGAGGCUGCAUGUCAAGAGAAGAGAGAAGAGGUGGCGUGUGUAACGGCGAGUUCCUGUCCUUCACCUCUUGGGAGUUUACUUACUGGAUGCACUUCCUGGCCUUGUGUUUGACGCAGCAAAAGAAGAUGUGGCACUGCGGACGAGCAUACUGAGGAAGCUGCUUCUGCAGGUGGAUGUAGCUGACUCAAGGGGAAAGCUGAGCAACCUUGGAUACUGAGCUCUAAUUGGUGAGUCUAGAGGUUACUACUGUUUACAAAGGUAAUGUUUAUAACUUGUU